Molecule: long non-coding RNA, 258 nt
Organism: Trifolium pratense (red clover)
Lineage: Eukaryota; Viridiplantae; Streptophyta; Magnoliopsida; Fabales; Fabaceae
Exons: 3
Source: RefSeq, a predicted model, not a curated record
UUGAAUUUUCAGGAGAUGCCUUCCUGAUGGAAACCUAUUGGUUGGCAAGCAGCAACUGAGAGAAGCAAAAUUACAAGCAAUCAACCGUCUCCUUUAAUUUACUCUUUAGGAACUCUUACUAAAGUGAAUGAUGAAACAAUUGUGUCCCUAGACUAUGGAUAUACAAUCAUUUAUGUUUAAUGGUGAUGCUGAAGACGGAAAGUCAAAUAGGGUACAAUAUGAAGGUCAUGUCCCUGAAUUGGCCGAAAUGCUUGAAAG